RNAcentral lists this small nucleolar RNA (72 nucleotides) under Penicillium digitatum PHI26. RNAcentral describes it as "Small nucleolar RNA U54". It matches the Rfam family "Small nucleolar RNA U54". The record is from Rfam by way of RNAcentral. Lineage: Eukaryota; Fungi; Ascomycota; Eurotiomycetes; Eurotiales; Aspergillaceae.
UGCCAAUGAUGAAAAGAUUUGUUGCGCUGAACCAUAAGUGAUUGAUGAUCUUAACGCCAGUCUGAGGCAGCA